RNAcentral lists this ribosomal RNA (464 nucleotides) under uncultured bacterium. RNAcentral's name for it is "bacterial SSU rRNA". It matches the Rfam family "Bacterial small subunit ribosomal RNA", at positions 917 to 1382 of the family's 1533-position model. The record is from RNAcentral.
GGGCCCGCACAAGCGGUGGAGCAUGUGGUUCAAUUCGACGCAACGCGAAGAACCUUACCCAGGCUUGAACAGCGAGUGACCAUCGACGAAAGUUGACUUCCGCAAGGACACUCGUAGAGGUGCUGCAUGGCUGUCGUCAGCUCGUGUCGUGAGAUGUUGGGUUAAGUCCCGCAACGAGCGCAACCCUUGUUUGCUGUUGCCAUCAGGUAAUGCUGGGCACUCUGCAAAGACUGCCGGUGAUAAACCGGAGGAAGGUGGGGAUGACGUCAAGUCAGCAUGGCCUUUAUGUCUGGGGCUACACACGUGCUACAAUGGCCGGUACAAACCGUCGCAAAACCGCAAGGUGGAGCUAAUCGGAGAAAGCCGGUCUCAGUUCGGAUAGCAGGCUGCAACUCGCCUGCUUGAAGUUGGAAUCGCUAGUAAUCGCGGAUCAGCACGCCGCGGUGAAUACGUUCCCGGGCCUU